GAUGAACGCUGGCGGCGUGCCUAAUACAUGCAAGUCGAGCGAACAGACGAGGAGCUUGCUCCUCUGACGUUAGCGGCGGACGGGUGAGUAACACGUGGAUAACCUACCUAUAAGACUGGGAUAACUUCGGGAAACCGGAGCUAAUACCGGAUAAUAUAUUGAACCGCAUGGUUCAAUAGUGAAAGACGGUUUUGCUGUCACUUAUAGAUGGAUCCGCGCCGCAUUAGCUAGUUGGUAAGGUAACGGCUUACCAAGGCAACGAUGCGUAGCCGACCUGAGAGGGUGAUCGGACACACUGGAACUGAGACACGGUCCAGACUCCUACGGGAGGCAGCAGUAGGGAAUCUUCCGCAAUGGGCGAAAGCCUGACGGAGCAACGCCGCGUGAGUGAUGAAGGUCUUCGGAUCGUAAAACUCUGUUAUUAGGGAAGAAAAAAUGUGUAAGUAACUAUGCACGUCUUGACGGUACCUAAUCAGAAAGCCACGGCUAACUACGUG
Molecule: ribosomal RNA, 497 nt
Filed under: uncultured bacterium
Lineage: Bacteria
Description: partial 16S ribosomal RNA
Rfam family: Bacterial small subunit ribosomal RNA
Source: RNAcentral